RNAcentral lists this ribosomal RNA (497 nucleotides) under uncultured bacterium. RNAcentral's name for it is "partial 16S ribosomal RNA". It matches the Rfam family "Bacterial small subunit ribosomal RNA", at positions 35 to 507 of the family's 1533-position model. The record is from RNAcentral.
GGGGGGGGGGGGGGGGGGGGGUGGGGGGGGCGGGGCGGGCGGACGGGCGAGAGGCUUGCUGCUCUGAUGUUAGCGGCGGACGGGUGGGUAACACGUGGAUAACCUACCUGUGAGACUGGGCUACCUUCUGGCAACCGGCGCUAAUACCGGAUAAUAUUUUGACCCGCAUGGUUCAAAAGUUAAAGACGUUCUUGCUGUCACUUAUCGAUGGAUCCGCGCUGCAUUAGCUAGUUGGUAAGGUAACGGCUUACCAAGGCAACGAUGCAUAGCCGACCUGAGAGGGUGAUCGGCCACACUGGAACUGAGACACGGUCCAGACUCCUACGGGAGGCAGCAGUAGGGAAUCUUCCGCAAUGGGCGAAAGCCUGACGGAGCAACGCCGCGUGAGUGAUGAAGGUCUUCGGAUCGUAAAACUCUGUUAUUAGGGAAGAACAUAUGUGUAAGUAACUGUGCACAUCUUGACGGUACCUAAUCAGAAAGCCACGGCUAACUACGUG